GUGGGGAAUAUUGGGCAAUGGGCGAAAGCCUGACCCAGCGACGCCGCGUGAGGGAAGAAGGUCUUCGGAUUGUAAACCUUUGUCAUCAGGAACGAAGAAAUGACGGUACCUGAGAAGGAAGCCACGGCUAACUACGUGCCAGCAGCCGCGGUAAUACGUAGGUGGCGAGCGUUAUCCGGAUUUACUGGGUGUAAAGGGUGUGUAGGCGGAGGAGCAAGUCAGAUGUGAAAUAUUAAGGCUCAACCUUGAUACUGCAUUUGAAACUGUUCCCCUUGAGUGUGGGAGAGGUAAGCGGAAUUCCCGGUGUAACGGUGAAAUGUGUAGAUAUCGGGAGGAAUACCGGUGGCGAAGGCGGCUUACUGGACCAUAACUGACGCUGAGACACGAAAGCGUGGGGAGCAAACAGG
RNAcentral lists this ribosomal RNA (407 nucleotides) under uncultured rumen bacterium. RNAcentral describes it as "bacterial SSU rRNA". It matches the Rfam family "Bacterial small subunit ribosomal RNA", at positions 354 to 776 of the family's 1533-position model. The record is from RNAcentral.